Molecule: ribosomal RNA, 465 nt
Filed under: uncultured bacterium
Lineage: Bacteria
Description: partial 16S ribosomal RNA
Rfam family: Bacterial small subunit ribosomal RNA
Source: RNAcentral
GACGAACGCUGGCGGCGUGCUUAACACAUGCAAGUCGAACGGAAAGGCCCUGCUUGCCGGGUACUUGAGUGGCGAACGGGUGAGUAACACGUGGGUGAUCUGCCCUGCACUUCGGGAUAAGCCUGGGAAACUGGGUCUAAUACCGGAUAGGAGCCAUUUUUAGUGUGAUGGUUGGAAAGUUUUUUCGGUGUAGGAUGAGCUCGCGGCCUAUCAGCUUGUUGGUGGGGUAAUGGCCUACCAAGGCGGCGACGGGUAGCCGGCCUGAGAGGGUGGACGGCCACAUUGGGACUGAGAUACGGCCCAGACUCCUACGGGAGGCAGCAGUGGGGAAUAUUGCACAAUGGGCGCAAGCCUGAUGCAGCGACGCCGCGUGGGGGAUGACGGCCUUCGGGUUGUAAACUCCUUUCGCUAGGGACGAAGCUUUUUGUGACGGUACCUAGAUAAGAAGCACCGGCUAACUACGUG